Molecule: ribosomal RNA, 318 nt
Filed under: Triticum aestivum (bread wheat)
Lineage: Eukaryota; Viridiplantae; Streptophyta; Magnoliopsida; Poales; Poaceae
Description: partial small subunit ribosomal RNA
Source: RNAcentral
AUGCAGGCUGCUUGCAAGAAAUUUGAGGCUGACAUCUCCGAUUUAAAGACCCACCUGAAGACGCAAGAAACUGAGACCCGGAAGGCCAACGCCAAAUUUGUAUCCAGUAUUGCUGCGCAAGAGAAGCUGAAAAAGGACUUUGAAGCUGAACGGAAAGCUUGGGCCGAAGAGAAGGCUACUCUGGUGAGCCGGGCCGAACAGGCGGAGAAGGCUCUGACAGAGAAAAACACCGAGCUCUCCGGCUUAAAGCGCCACGUGUCCCAGAUGGUUGCCGCGAUCUUCGGUAAGUCAUGCCACCGGCUCUCGUCAAGUUUAUAA